Molecule: ribosomal RNA, 500 nt
Filed under: uncultured Desulfobulbus sp.
Lineage: Bacteria; Pseudomonadati; Thermodesulfobacteriota; Desulfobulbia; Desulfobulbales; Desulfobulbaceae
Description: bacterial SSU rRNA
Rfam family: Bacterial small subunit ribosomal RNA
Source: RNAcentral
GCCAGCCCGCUCAGAAACUUAAAGGAAGUUGACGGGGGCCCGCACAAGCGGUGGAGCACGUGGUUUAAUUCGAAGCAACGCGAAGAACCUUACCAGGCCUUGACAUGCAGAGAACUUUCCAGAGAUGGAUUGGUGCCUUCGGGAACUCUGACACAGGUGCUGCAUGGCUGUCGUCAGCUCGUGUCGUGAGAUGUUGGGUUAAGUCCCGCAACGAGCGCAACCCUUGCCUUUAGUUGCCAGCAGUUCGGCUGGGCACUCUAAAGGGACUGCCGGUGUUAAACCGGAGGAAGGUGGGGAUGACGUCAAGUCCUCAUGGCCUUUAUGACCAGGGCUACACACGUACUACAAUGGCCGAUACAAAGGGCAGCGACACUGCGAGGUGAAGCCAAUCCCGUAAAAUCGGUCUCAGUCCGGAUUGGAGUCUGCAACUCGACUCCAUGAAGUUGGAAUCGCUAGUAAUCGUGGAUCAGCAUGCCACGGUGAAUACGUUCCCGGGCCUU